Small nucleolar RNA from Drosophila melanogaster (fruit fly), 68 nucleotides. The record is from Ensembl. Lineage: Eukaryota; Metazoa; Arthropoda; Insecta; Diptera; Drosophilidae.
CGAGGAGAUGGACGAACUGAGCCUGAGUUACUCGCAGUUGAGCAGCAGUGGCUGCGAGGAAGCCGAAG